UACGGAGGGUGCAAGCGUUGUCCGGAAUCAUUGGGCGUAAAGCGCGUGUAGGCGGUCCGGUAAGUCCGCUGUGAAAGUCGGGGGCUCAACCCUCGAAUGCCGGUGGAUACUGUCGGGCUAGAGUGCGGAAGAGGCGAGUGGAAUUCCUGGUGUAGCGGUGAAAUGCGCAGAUAUCAGGAGGAACACCAAUUGCGAAGGCAGCUCGCUGGGACGUAACUGACGCUGAGACGCGAAAGCGUGGGGAGCAAACAGG
This 253-nucleotide ribosomal RNA is filed under the name uncultured bacterium. RNAcentral describes it as "partial 16S ribosomal RNA". It matches the Rfam family "Bacterial small subunit ribosomal RNA", at positions 524 to 776 of the family's 1533-position model. The record is from RNAcentral.